Molecule: unclassified non-coding RNA, 3473 nt
Filed under: Drosophila virilis
Lineage: Eukaryota; Metazoa; Arthropoda; Insecta; Diptera; Drosophilidae
Description: GJ15037
Source: RNAcentral
GGUUGAAAGUAGUCAAGUGCAGCAGCGGGCGACGUUUUUUUGCAACCGCUGCGUAAACAAAAUCUGUUGAUAAGAAGUCCCCCCCCCAGCAAACAAUUAACAAUUAAAAACUCGUCGUGCGUGUGUGCAAAACCUCUGUUGUUUAUCCACAAGAAACAAGUGCGAUUUAAAAAAAAAUAAUAAAUAGAUUCAUCCAGCUUACGAAGCUGUGUUUAUUGUGUGAGUGAGUGUGUGUGUGUGUGUGUGUGUGCGUGCGUGCGUGCGCUUGUGUUUGUGCGUCUCGGGCAGCCUAAAAGCGAAGUCGAAGAUAGCCCGAAAACAGAAAACAGAAGUUAUACAUAUAUCUGUCUGUCAACAUAUUUCGCAAGGCCAAAGUCAGCAUAAAACAGUGGCAAAGGGCGCAGCGGGUGAAAAUUUUCACCAAAAAUUAUAAAAGAAAAACAGUUAAGCGAAGAGGAAGAGGAAGCAGCGUACCAGCUUCAAGUAGAGCCCAAACGCAAAAUCUGUCGCAGGUCGAACGUGACGCAUAGGACGACGCAGCCCUAAAGCCAAUCAAAAUAGAAACAGAGUUGAGCUCGUUUUGUGCGAUUCAUGAUGAUGGAGCUGGAGCCGCGCGUGGCCAUAUUGCAGGAUCUGCGCCUACAGACCUUCGACUCGAUACGCUUUGCCUCGUAUCGGACCGCCUCGAAGUUGCGCUACAUACAAAAGUCGACCAAUUUGCAUUUGGUGGACAUUUGGAAUGUGAUCGAGGCGUUCCGUGAGAAUGGCCUGAACACGUUGGAGCCGCAGAGCGAUGUGAGCGUGGCGCGUCUGGAGACGCUCGUCUCCUCGCUCUAUCACAAUCUGAACAAGCGUCUGCCCACCGCACAGCAGGUGCCCGUGGACUCGAAGGCGGGUCUCUUGCUCAACUGGCUGCUGGCUGCCUACACCAGCGACAACUCGGGCAAAAUACGCGUGUUUUCCAUUAAGGUGGCGCUGGCCACCAUGUGCUCCGGCAAGCUGGUGGACAAGCUCAGAUAUAUCUUUUCACAGAUUUCGGAUGGCGCUGGACAGCUGGUUGCCUGGAAGCUGGGUGAAUUUUUGCGUGAGGUAUUGGCGCUGCCGGCGGCUGUUUAUGAGUCGCCCACAUUCCACUAUAAGGACGGGCUGGAGGAGGAGAUAUUUCCGGCCGAGAAUAAGGUCACCGUGAAUGAUUUCAUGGCAACACUUAUGUCCGAACCGGGGCCAUCGUGUCUCGUCUGGCUGCCGUUAUUGCAUCGGCUGGCCACGGUUGAGACAAUUGUGCAUCCGACGAUCUGUUCUGUUUGCCAUAAGGAAAACUUUACCGGAUUUCGUUAUCGUUGUCAGCGGUGUCACGCCUACCAAUUGUGCCAGGAGUGCUUUUGGCAUGGCAAGACAUCACUGAACCAUCAGAACGAUCACGAGGUCAAGGAGUACUCGAGCUACAAGUCGCCCAGCAAACAGAUUGGUCACUCCUUGCGCAAGAGCUUUCGGUGUGUGCCCGAGAAGACGACGCAAGUGUUGCCACGAUUCCCCGACCAGCCCGAAAAGACACUCAAUUUAUCGCACAUUGUGCCGCCAUCGCCGUUACCCUCGCACAAUGGCUUCUCCGAUCCAACGCUAGGCCACUUGCACGGUCCCGGUCCCGGUUCCGGCUCUGGUCCGGGGCCCGGACAUCCGGGCAUCUUUGAUCGUUCCAGUACGCUGGAUUCGCGCGCCACCGGACGCAGCCUGGACACGACCAUGUCCCGCGUAGCGGCCGCCUCGGCCAACGAUGAGGAGCAUCGCCUGAUUGCACGCUAUGCCGCGCGCCUGGCCCAGGAGAAUCGCGCUCCCUCCAACAUGCCCAAUGCGGAGAGCAUCACGCCCAUUGGCACGGAUAAUUCGCGUGCGCAGCGCGAGCUCAUCGCCCAGCUGGAGUCGAAGAACAAGGAGAUAAUGCGCGAAAUCGCGCGCCUGCGCCGCCAGCAGGAGACUGAGCAAAUGGCGCCCGAGAAUCCGGCGCUGAUCAAUGAGCUGCGCGCCCUGCGGCAGCGCAAGGGCGAGUUGGAGGGGCAUUUGGGCGCGCUGCAGGAUUCGCGGCGGCAACUGAUGGAACAGCUGGAGGGCCUGAUGCGCAUGCUCAAGAAUCAACAGACUGCCUCGCCGCGCUCCACGCCCAAUUCCAGUCCACGAUCCGGCAAAUCGCCGCCCAUGCCAGGUGGCACGGCGACAACAUCAGCUGGCGUCCUGGGCACCACGCCGAUGAGCGCCCUGCAUGCCCAGCAGUUGCAACAGCUGCAACAGCAUCCGAUGCUGCGCUCCACACAGCAACAGCUGUUGCAGCAGCAGCAGCAGCAGCAGGCGGCACAGCAAAGUCAAUCCUCGCCGGGCCUCGGCCACGGACCCUUCAGCCAGAGCCAGCUGGAGCAGCUCAACCAGAUCAGCAGCGACAUGCGUAGCGCCUUUGCCGCCAACGGCAGUGCAACCCCGCCGCCCAUAUUGAAUGCCAAUCCCAAUGCCGACGCGGAGCUGAACGCGACUGCCGACAACAUAACGUCGGCCAUUUCGACAAUGGUCAGCGAUCUGAAUGCAGAACAAUUCUUGCCGCCGGCUCGUUUCAUUAUGCCUUUGGGUAAGUCCUUCACGUCGACUCCGUUUCCGUCCUUCGUCGUUGCGACCAACUCUCUACCCUCCCCCCUUUCCUCUAGUUUUUUUUUGAUUUUUUGGUUUUUCUCAACAUUUUCUGUUAUUUUUCUUAUAGAUUAUUUCCCAAAUAGACGGCAUAAGAAAAAUUGCUGCAAAUGUUGAAUGUGCAAUUCAGUUGUUCUUUAUUGUUUAACAUUUUUACUUUCACUACCAAAAAAAAAAAAAAAAAUCAAAAAAAAAAUACCUCUCUCGUAUCCAUACGAACGAAUCCCAUUUCAAGAGUAUCGCCACAUCGAGGGCCGCGAAUCCGUUCCGGCCGGCUGCGGCGACUGCGAUUGUCUGGCUUACGAGGAGAUCUUUCGCACCGACGAGGAUCUUGAGUGCGAGGGUGCUGCCGCUCCUGAAGCUGCCACGCCCCUUUAUACAGAUCCCUUCGAUGAUGAAUUCGAUUAUAAUUUCGGCCAGAGCGAGGAGCAGUCCCAGCUAAAUCGCCUGCUCGCCUAUCGCCACCAUCCCGAGCUCUUUAUCGACGACGACGAGGCCGGGUUUCCGGCACUGCACGAGAUCGGUGAGACAAUCGAUGAGCUGCAGUUGAUAAUGCACGCUUACAUUAUGAAAUAUAGUUUGAAUAUAUAAAAAAACAAAAACAAGAGAAUUGAAAAACAUUUUUGUAGGUUCACGCGUUGUUCAGAUUUUGAUGAAACUCAAUCCUAUAAUCCCGAAUGGAAUGAAAAGGCAAAUGCGAAUAGCCAAUGGCAGGAGCAGUUUGCACAAUGGAGUCUCAAUUCACAAAAUAACUAAAGAAAAAAUAUAUAUAUAAAUGGAAAAUACAAACAAAAAAAAAA